RNAcentral lists this ribosomal RNA (1452 nucleotides) under uncultured organism. Its description in RNAcentral is "SSU rRNA". It matches the Rfam family "Bacterial small subunit ribosomal RNA". The record is from RNAcentral.
UGAACGCUAGCUACAGGCUUAACACAUGCAAGUCGAGGGGCAGCAUGGUCUUAGCUUGCUAAGGCCGAUGGCGACCGGCGCACGGGUGAGUAACACGUAUCCAACCUGCCGUCUACUCUUGGACAGCCUUCUGAAAGGAAGAUUAAUACAAGAUGGCAUCAUGAGUCCGCAUGUUCACAUGAUUAAAGGUAUUCCGGUAGACGAUGGGGAUGCGUUCCAUUAGAUAGUAGGCGGGGUAACGGCCCACCUAGUCUUCGAUGGAUAGGGGUUCUGAGAGGAAGGUCCCCCACAUUGGAACUGAGACACGGUCCAAACUCCUACGGGAGGCAGCAGUGAGGAAUAUUGGUCAAUGGGCGAGAGCCUGAACCAGCCAAGUAGCGUGAAGGAUGACUGCCCUAUGGGUUGUAAACUUCUUUUAUAAAGGAAUAAAGUCGGGUAUGGAUACCCGUUUGCAUGUACUUUAUGAAUAAGGAUCGGCUAACUCCGUGCCAGCAGCCGCGGUAAUACGGAGGAUCCGAGCGUUAUCCGGAUUUAUUGGGUUUAAAGGGAGCGUAGAUGGAUGUUUAAGUCAGUUGUGAAAGUUUGCGGCUCAACCGUAAAAUUGCAGUUGAUACUGGAUAUCUUGAGUGCAGUUGAGGCAGGCGGAAUUCGUGGUGUAGCGGUGAAAUGCUUAGAUAUCACGAAGAACUCCGAUUGCGAAGGCAGCCUGCUAAGCUGCAACUGACAUUGAGGCUCGAAAGUGUGGGUAUCAAACAGGAUUAGAUACCCUGGUAGUCCACACGGUAAACGAUGAAUACUCGCUGUUUGCGAUAUACUGCAAGCGGCCAAGCGAAAGCGUUAAGUAUUCCACCUGGGGAGUACGCCGGCAACGGUGAAACUCAAAGGAAUUGACGGGGGCCCGCACAAGCGGAGGAACAUGUGGUUUAAUUCGAUGAUACGCGAGGAACCUUACCCGGGCUUAAAUUGCAGAUGAAUUACGGUGAAAGCCGUAAGCCGCAAGGCAUCUGUGAAGGUGCUGCAUGGUUGUCGUCAGCUCGUGCCGUGAGGUGUCGGCUUAAGUGCCAUAACGAGCGCAACCCUUGUUGUCAGUUACUAACAGGUUCCGCUGAGGACUCUGACAAGACUGCCAUCGUAAGAUGUGAGGAAGGUGGGGAUGACGUCAAAUCAGCACGGCCCUUACGUCCGGGGCUACACACGUGUUACAAUGGGGGGUACAGAGGGCCGCUACCACGCGAGUGGAUGCCAAUCCCCAAAACCUCUCUCAGUUCGGACUGGAGUCUGCAACCCGACUCCACGAAGCUGGAUUCGCUAGUAAUCGCGCAUCAGCCACGGCGCGGUGAAUACGUUCCCGGGCCUUGUACACACCGCCCGUCAAGCCAUGGGAGCCGGGGGUACCUGAAGUGCGUAACCGCGAGGAGCGCCCUAGGGUAAAACUGGUGACUGGGGCUAAGU